CGAUCACUUCUCAUCUCUUUUUACGUGAUAAGUCUGAUCAUAAACAGUCACUGGUAACCGAGAGAAAAUGUUAAAUAAAUUAUCGUGUGGAGACGUGAAGGAAAUAUUGGUGGAAUUAAAUGAACAAGCGGCGUGUGGCGCUUGUGAUAGUGCUGCAGUCUCCUUGUCACUGACUGACUCACCACACUACGUCUCACAGGCUGGUGAUCACUCGUGAGGUGUUUACUAAGACAUACACACAUACACACUUGACAUGUCACGGAAGAUCAUCAUUUCCAGUAUAUCAGUCGCCAUCACUGUAAUAUUGGUAGUCCACUUUAUGCUGUAUGAGGACAAUAUCUUCCCGCUGGACCUGAUGCCUUGGUCACGAGAAUAUGACAUUAGCGAGGUAACAGUCAACCCCAACUAUACACACACAACAGAGCCCACGAGGACGCACCAACCAGGUAAUAUUUUGGUUCUCAGCUCAGAAGGAAGAAGUGGAUCUAGCUUUUUAGGCUCACUGGUCGCCUCACUGGGACGAAACAUGUAUUUCUUUGAGCCAAUAAGAACCCUGGAAUACGAUAUACCCUCCACUAUUACCAAAGAAAUGAUGGUGACCGAACUAAGGAGAAUUUAUCACUGUGAAAUGAGAGACAACAUGAUUGAUAGUGAUAGUUAUAAGUCAACUAUUUAUUAUCAACAUACGGUUGGGUGUGGGAGACCUUAUCGUGUAAUGAAGAGGAAGAAGGAGGAAAUUAGAAUGGCAAGACGAAUAUGUAACAGAAUGCCAGUGAAGAUUAUCAAGACCAUUAGGUGUCGUCUACAGUGGAUAUCUGAGCUACUACAAGACACCGAGUUGGAUCUGAAGGUGAUUCAUCUGGUGCGGGAUCCUCGAGGAAUUCUUCUAUCAGUGCAUAAUUCUUAUGGUGGAGAUGUCUCGACCCACGUGUGUUCUUCGUUAUUCCAGGAUCUACAACAGCAACAGUAUAUGAAGGAGAAAUUUCCCAACAGCUACUUCUUUGUUAGGUAUGAAGACCUGUGUCAGGAUCCUUACGGCAAGACCAGCGAAAUAUUCAGGUUCCUGAAGGGAGAAGGGAAUGUCUCCAGUAGCACUAACUCCUCUUCUUCAGCGUCUCCGUCACAAGAUAUCCCCAGGUGCGUCCGUGAGUUCCUUCAUACUCAUAUGGAGAAAACUGUGCACAACUCUUAUAGCACCUUCCGGAACACAGCCACAACCUGGCAGAAGUGGAGGUCGUCGAUCUCCCAGAAGUCACUGAUGACCUGGGAACGAGAAUGCUCCGACGUCCUUCACAUGAUGGGCCACAGGAUCUUUGGGAGUGUUGACAACGCCAGGAACCUUUCAUUGUCCUUGUUUGUUGGGGCGUGAGGACAACAGGAUGUGUGUAGGAGUACCAGGAUAGAAAUAUGUAAACCUGAGGUCAAAAGUUCGCUCCCUCCCAAACUGAAGCAGCUUCGACCCCAAAUGGGACAAAACAACACGCCCGCACCAGAUGACAGUCAAGGAAGCAUACGAGAGAACCAUGUCAAGAAGAGUGUCCAUAUUCCCCAUCUUCGUAAUGUUUAUCAUAGUCUUCACGUGUGGUUGGCUGAGUAUUGCCUUAUUGGUGUUGGAAAGUACAUGUGUUGAGCACGUUAACCGUAACUACCAUACGGAUCGUUUCCAGGCAUCAAAAAACCUCAACGACCAUCAACCGCUACGUAAGGUCGUUAACCACCAGGAACUAGCCGAGUUUAACGAGCAUCAACCACCACACAAGGUCGUUAAUUACCAGUUACAUGACGACCUCAACGACAAUCAACUACCAAAUGACCUCAACAACAACCAGACACAAGACAACAAUAUCGACCACCAACCACCACACGAUCACCAAUCACCACACGACCACCAACCACCACACGAUCACCAACCACCACA
RNAcentral lists this unclassified non-coding RNA (1918 nucleotides) under Homarus americanus (American lobster). RNAcentral describes it as "carbohydrate sulfotransferase 1-like, transcript variant X3". The record is from RNAcentral. Lineage: Eukaryota; Metazoa; Arthropoda; Malacostraca; Decapoda; Nephropidae.